RNAcentral lists this ribosomal RNA (492 nucleotides) under uncultured bacterium. RNAcentral describes it as "SSU rRNA". It matches the Rfam family "Bacterial small subunit ribosomal RNA", at positions 26 to 518 of the family's 1533-position model. The record is from RNAcentral.
AGAACGAACGCUGGCGGCGUGCCUAACACAUGCAAGUCGAACGAGAAAGGGGCUUCGGCUCCGAGUAAAGUGGCGCACGGGUGAGUAACACGUGGGUAACCUGCCUUUAAGUUUGGGAUAACCCGUCGAAAGACGAGCUAAUACCGAAUAAGACCACAGCUUCUCUGGAAGCCGGGGGUCAAAGAUAGCCACUACAUGUAAGCUAUCGCUUAGAGAUGGGCCUGCGUACCAUUAGCUAGUUGGUAGGGUAACGGCUUACCAAGGCUAAGAUGGUUAGCUGGUCUGAGAGGAUGAUCAGCCACACUGGAACUGAGACACGGCCCAGACUCCUACGGGAGGCAGCAGUCGGGAAUUUUGCGCAAUGGACGAAAGUCUGACGCAGCAACGCCGCGUGAGGGAUGAAGGCCUUCGGGUUGUAAACCUCUUUUAUCGAGGGAAGAUAAUGACGGUACCUGAUGAAUAAGUCACGGCUAACUACGUGCCAGCAGCCGC